AACCAUAAUGUUUCCUCUACUUAAUUAGUUCCAUUAGUUUAUAGGAAAUUUUGAUGGUCAUUAGUUCAUAACAGAUGAUGUAUUUAUAUGGGAAAAUUAAUGAAUGUGUGUUAUUAUUGUUUGCAUCCGGUUCAAUAUAUGUUGGAUGACAUGCACAUUACUCUUAUGAAUUCUAUAUAAUUUGAAGUCCACCUAUGGGAGGGCUAAUGAAUGUUG
RNAcentral lists this long non-coding RNA (216 nucleotides) under Hordeum vulgare. RNAcentral describes it as "long non-coding RNA (HVUL_LNC007207)". Lineage: Eukaryota; Viridiplantae; Streptophyta; Magnoliopsida; Poales; Poaceae. The record is from RNAcentral.